AUUGAACGCUGGCGGCAGGCCUAACACAUGCAAGUCGAACGGUAGCACAGAGAGCUUGCUCUCGGGUGACGAGUGGCGGACGGGUGAGUAAUGUCUGGGAAACUGCCCGAUGGAGGGGGAUAACUACUGGAAACGGUAGCUAAUACCGCAUAAUGUCGCAAGACCAAAGAGGGGGACCUUCGGGCCUCUUGCCAUCGGAUGUGCCCAGAUGGGAUUAGCUUGUAGGUGAGGUAACGGCUCACCUAGGCGACGAUCCCUAGCUGGUCUGAGAGGAUGACCAGCCACACUGGAACUGAGACACGGUCCAGACUCCUACGGGAGGCAGCAGUGGGGAAUAUUGCACAAUGGGCGCAAGCCUGAUGCAGCCAUGCCGCGUGUAUGAAGAAGGCCUUCGGGUUGUAAAGUACUUUCAGCGGGGAGGAAGGGAGUGAGGUUAAUAACCUUAUUCAUUGACGUUACCCGCAGAAGAAGCACCGGCUAACUCCGUGCCAGCAGCCGCGGUAAUACGGAGGGUGCGAGCGUUAAUCGGAAUUACUGGGCGUAAAGCGCACGCAGGCGGUCUGUCAAGUCGGAUGUGAAAUCCCCGGGCUCAACCUGGGAACUGCAUUCGAAACUGGCAGGCUGGAGUCUUGUAGAGGGGGGUAGAAUUCCAGGUGUAGCGGUGAAAUGCGUAGAGAUCUGGAGGAAUACCGGUGGCGAAGGCGGCCCCCUGGACAAAGACUGACGCUCAGGUGCGAAAGCGUGGGGAGCAAACAGGAUUAGAUACCCUGGUAGUCCACGCUGUAAACGAUGUCGACUUGGAGGUUGUUCCCUUGAGGAGUGGCUUCCGGAGCUAACGCGUUAAGUCGACCGCCUGGGGAGUAGGGCCGCAAGGUUAAAACUCAAAUGAAUUGACGGGGGCCCGCACAAGCGGUGGAGCAUGUGGUUUAAUUCGAUGCAACGCGAAGAACCUUACCUACUCUUGACAUCCAGAGAACUUAGCAGAGAUGCUUUGGUGCCUUCGGGAACUCUGAGACAGGUGCUGCAUGGCUGUCGUCAGCUCGUGUUGUGAAAUGUUGGGUUAAGUCCCGCAACGAGCGCAACCCUUAUCCUUUGUUGCCAGCGGUCCGGCCGGGAACUCAAAGGAGACUGCCAGUGAUAAACUGGAGGAAGGUGGGGAUGACGUCAAGUCAUCAUGGCCCUUACGAGUAGGGCUACACACGUGCUACAAUGGCAUAUACAAAGAGAAGCGACCUCGCGAGAGCAAGCGGACCUCAUAAAGUAUGUCGUAGUCCGGAUUGGAGUCUGCAACUCGACUCCAUGAAGUCGGAAUCGCUAGUAAUCGUGGAUCAGAAUGCCACGGUGAAUACGUUCCCGGGCCU
RNAcentral lists this ribosomal RNA (1361 nucleotides) under uncultured bacterium. RNAcentral's name for it is "bacterial SSU rRNA". It matches the Rfam family "Bacterial small subunit ribosomal RNA", at positions 28 to 1381 of the family's 1533-position model. The record is from RNAcentral.